AGUGAACGCUGGCGGUAGGCCUAACACAUGCCAGUCGAACGGCAGCACAGUAAGAGCUUGCUCUUACGGGUGGCGAGUGGCGGACGGGUGAGGAAUACAUCGGAAUCUACUUUUUCGUGGGGGAUAACGUAGGGAAACUUACGCUAAUACCGCAUACGACCUACGGGUGAAAGCAGGGGAUCUUCGGACCUUGCGCGAUUGAAUGAGCCGAUGUCGGAUUAGCUAGUUGGCGGGGUAAAGGCCCACCAAGGCGACGAUCCGUAGCUGGUCUGAGAGGAUGAUCAGCCACACUGGAACUGAGACACGGUCCAGACUCCUACGGGAGGCAGCAGUGGGGAAUAUUGGACAAUGGGCGCAAGCCUGAUCCAGCCAUACCGCGUGGGUGAAGAAGGCCUUCGGGUUGUAAAGCCCUUUUGUUGGGAAAGAAAAGCAGCAGGUUAAUACCCCGCUGUUCCGACGGUACCCAAAGAAUAAGCACCGGCUAACUCCGUG
RNAcentral lists this ribosomal RNA (492 nucleotides) under uncultured bacterium. Its description in RNAcentral is "partial 16S ribosomal RNA". It matches the Rfam family "Bacterial small subunit ribosomal RNA", at positions 29 to 507 of the family's 1533-position model. The record is from RNAcentral.